GUCGUUGCGUAUUACGCACCUCCACU
This 26-nucleotide unclassified non-coding RNA is filed under the name Dictyostelium discoideum. Lineage: Eukaryota; Evosea; Eumycetozoa; Dictyosteliales; Dictyosteliaceae. The record is from RNAcentral.